GUAGUCUGCAACUCGACUACAUGAAGCUGGAAUCGCUAGUAAUCGCGGAUCAGAAUGCCGCGGUGAAUACGUUCCCGGGUCUUGUACACACCGCCCGUCACACCAUGGGAGUCGAUAACGCCCGAAGUCAGUGACCCAACCUGUAAGGAGGGAGCUGCCGAAGGCGGGAUUGAUAACUGGGGGUGAAGUCGUAACAAGGUAAC
This 203-nucleotide ribosomal RNA is filed under the name uncultured bacterium. RNAcentral's name for it is "partial 16S ribosomal RNA". It matches the Rfam family "Bacterial small subunit ribosomal RNA", at positions 1300 to 1500 of the family's 1533-position model. The record is from RNAcentral.